CUAGGAAUCUUGGGAAUGGGCGAAAGCCUGACCCAGCAACGCCGCGUGGGCGAUGAAGGCCUUCGGGUCGUAAAGCCCUUUUGCAGGGGACGAUGAUGACGGUACCCUGCGAAUAAGCCACGGCUAACUACGUGCCAGCAGCCGCGGUAAUACGUAGGUGGCAAGCGUUGUCCGGAUUUACUGGGCGUAAAGGGCGUGCAGGCGGUCUGUUAAGUUCAGGGUGAAAGCUCCCGGCUCAACUGGGAGAGGUCCUUGGAUACUGGCAGACUUGAGGAGGGUAGAGGAGAGUGGGAUUCCCGGUGUAGUGGUGAUAUGCGUAGAUAUCGGGAGGAACACCAGUGGCGAAGGCGGCUCUCUGGGCCCUACCUGACGCUGAGACGCGAAAGCGUGGGGAGCGAACCGGAUUAGAUACCCGGGUAGUCCACGCCGUAAACUAUGGACACUAGGUGUAAGGGGUAUCGACCCCCUUUGUGCCGAAGCUAACGCAAUAAGUGUCCCGCCUGGGGAGUACGGCCGCAAGGCUA
This 524-nucleotide ribosomal RNA is filed under the name uncultured bacterium. RNAcentral describes it as "bacterial SSU rRNA". It matches the Rfam family "Bacterial small subunit ribosomal RNA", at positions 355 to 896 of the family's 1533-position model. The record is from RNAcentral.